Pimephales promelas (fathead minnow) is the source of this 228-nucleotide non-coding RNA. Lineage: Eukaryota; Metazoa; Chordata; Actinopteri; Cypriniformes; Leuciscidae. The record is from RefSeq and is a predicted model, not a curated record.
GAGAGAGUGAUUGAUUAGUCAGAGCUGUCAGACUAUCAGUCGAGUGGAACUCGCAAAUCUCCGGUCGCUGUGUGUGUGUGUCUUAUCCGGAGUUUGCAGGCCUUUCUUUGUGAUCCGUGGUGGAUAAUGGUCAUUCCUGCUGCUCCGGCAAACAGUGGAUCAGGAGAGCAUUUCCAGGUCUGUUGAAUCAUUUUCAGCCACCAGCUGUUUGCACAGUACGGCUCUCUA